This 536-nucleotide long non-coding RNA is filed under the name Medicago truncatula (barrel medic). RNAcentral describes it as "lncRNA gene22941". The record is from RNAcentral. Lineage: Eukaryota; Viridiplantae; Streptophyta; Magnoliopsida; Fabales; Fabaceae.
AUUCUCUUUCUUCCUUCUCUGUUAUUUUUUUUUACAAACUUUCUUCCUUCAAUGUUGUUAUCUCUCUCUCUUCUCUCACCAAUCCACCGUUGAAUUAUAUGUGAACUCAUUGAUUACAAAUUAUUUUAGCCUCCCAUCAAAAUAUCUUCCUCCACAUCGACAUCGUCACACCUUAAAAAGCCGACUCUCUUGAACUUCCUAUUUGAAACGCGUUAUAGCUUCGGUCAGCACCGCCGCAGGAUGUUUCGGCUCCUCCUCCCAUAAAGAAUGACUGAAGAAUUAUCGUAAAAACCUUUUUUAUGGUAGAUUCAUAUGAAAUAGACCCGUAAAAAAGAACAUGAAAUAGACAUUUGAGCCUCAAUUAGUUUUCUCGUCUCCAAUAAAAGAAUCUAUGGUAGAUUCAUAUGAUGGUUCUUCUCCAUAUCUUAAUUUAAUGUUGGAUUCAUAUGGUGUGAGAAGAAAGAAAGCCCCGUAAUAAAAAACAAUGGAGGAAGAAAGAGAAUGGGUUAGAAGAUUCUCGUAAAAAUAAAUAGGAA